RNAcentral lists this long non-coding RNA (227 nucleotides) under Jatropha curcas. Its description in RNAcentral is "long non-coding RNA (JCUR_LNC000795)". The record is from RNAcentral. Lineage: Eukaryota; Viridiplantae; Streptophyta; Magnoliopsida; Malpighiales; Euphorbiaceae.
AUUGGCUUGAAGUGUAGAAGAUGCGAGAGUGAGAUUUAGAUCGCAGGAUGAAUCGGCCUCAUCUGUUGUUGCUGCUGCUGCUAAACAGGAAACUGGACCUACAUGCGAUUCAGCCGUGUCGAUGGUCAAUGAAUCUGCUGAUGGAGAGGAAACUGAGUAAGAGAAGGAAUUUAGAGAAUAAGAGUUUGUAUUAGAGAUUGUUGUUUGUUUUGUGGUUAGUGAUAGAU